Long non-coding RNA from Pelodiscus sinensis (Chinese soft-shelled turtle), 1391 nucleotides. RefSeq lists it as uncharacterized. The record is from RefSeq and is a predicted model, not a curated record. NCBI's taxonomy places the organism in Eukaryota, Metazoa, Chordata, Testudines, Trionychidae.
UUCACAGCCACAUAAUCCAAACUGCAGCAUCAUGCAAACAAGACAGUAGAGCUGAUCAACCCUGAUCCUCAAUGAGCCCUAGCAAGAAUGUGUGCCUGUCUGAAGCCCCAUUAACUUCAAUAUUUUGUGUAGGUGCAUGGUUUGCUCUCAGUAAAUUGCUUUCAGGACUGUGGUCUUAAAUGCUCCUGCCACUUACGAACGUGUACCUUAAAACCCAAUUCUCCCUACGUACACCUUCUGAAAAGGACUACCUUGACUUGAAAAGUGAAAAGGAAAUGUAAGCUGGUGUAACUCACCUGCCAAAGGGUCAGAAGAGUGUAGCAAGCGACUAACCAGUAUAUAAAGCAUCCCCAUAAUAGUGCCAACGAAGGACAAGGCCCUCAUAUAUUCCACUGAGUAAAUCUACUUCCUAAGUAUUUCUGGCCAGCAAGGAUGAGCAGGAAUCAUGGAGCCAGUUUAAGAUAUGAAGAGAAAUUAUGUUUCAAACAAUCUCUAUGUAGCUUGAAAGCGUAUCUCUUUCACCCCCUCUCUGGUAAGCAGUCUUGGUGGUUUCAGCAGAAGGACUUGUGGAGAGUUAAGGUUGUUUUCAACAUGAAUGAGGACGGCAGACUUUGCCCUUAACAUUGUCUUAAUAUGCACCUAUAGCGAAUCAUGCCCGAGCUGUGUCUUCCAACCCCACAAUGAGCUAUUGACCCCAAAAUAGAAGUAAAAUGUAUCCAUUCAGAUAUGACAAAAAGUUCAGAAGUGCACUACAUAAUCAGAUAUCCAGAUAAGCAUCUGCCAUUAUUCUUUCCAUAUUGGAAAAAAAGAAGUAAUGGAAGAGUAACGUUGAGAGACAAUUUGGAUUUCAAGUGGACACAGUAUUUACUUCCGGUCUUUAACUGUUCUGUAUUGUCCUGGUAUGCUGUUCAAAAGGCAUGGAAUUUCAAAAGGUAUGGAACUGUGACUGCAUUUCACGAAGGAGUGAAGUGAUUCCUCUAUUUGUAAUGUGUUUGCGAUCUUUUUGCAUUUUAUAAACUGGAGAUGGUAAUGAUAAUGAUCAAAAUUCUGCUCUCAGAAAUGUAUACACAAAUCCGAUUGAAUUUUCUGUACACUUGUAUCCAUGCAUGCUUCUAUAUAAUUGAAAAUCAAAUGGAAAGAUAAUUUAAAAGUGUUGUAUGAAAACAUUAUGUUUGUACAAAAGCUUCUGUUUCUGCAUGCUCAUAAUUUGAUGAUAUGUUCAGGCAAAAGUAGAAACACAUUACGUUUAUGCCAUGUUAGUAAAAUUCUACCUGCCCAAUUCAUUUUAAACAUAUGGACUUCAUUUUCUUUCACACCUGCCUAUAUUUAUUUGUUAUGAAAGGUUCAUGGCUGCAUGUGUUAUGUGACCUAUUCCCAUGCUGACUAGAGUU